UACGUAGGGUGCAGGCGUUAAUCGGAAUUACUGGGCGUAAAGCGUGCGCAGGCGGUCUUUUAAGUCAGAUGCGAAAUCCCCGGGCUUAACCUGGGAACUGCGUUUGAAACUGGAAGGCUAGAGUGUGGCAGAGGGGGGUGGAAUUCCACGUGUAGCAGUGAAAUGCGUAGAGAUGUGGAGGAACACCGAUGGCGAAGGCAGCCUCCUGGGCCAGCACUGACGCUCAUGCACGAAAGCGUGGGGAGCAAACAGG
This 253-nucleotide ribosomal RNA is filed under the name uncultured bacterium. RNAcentral's name for it is "partial 16S ribosomal RNA". It matches the Rfam family "Bacterial small subunit ribosomal RNA", at positions 524 to 776 of the family's 1533-position model. The record is from RNAcentral.